UCUCUCUCUCUCGCUUUUCCUCACAAUCUAUGGAUGUGAGAGAAGGGACCGUCAACGCUCGCGAAAUAAAGACGGCCGAAGGGAUUCCGACGAGCAACCACUACAAGUUUGGUGCAGAGGAGCCCCUCAACUUCUCCAGUUCAAAUAAAUAUCACAGAACAUUCGAAUAGUUCAAGCAUCAGAUAAAGUUUAUACAAAAAUGGGC
This 205-nucleotide long non-coding RNA is filed under the name Spirodela polyrhiza (greater duckweed). Its description in RNAcentral is "long non-coding RNA (SPOL_LNC002008)". Lineage: Eukaryota; Viridiplantae; Streptophyta; Magnoliopsida; Alismatales; Araceae. The record is from RNAcentral.